Molecule: ribosomal RNA, 514 nt
Filed under: uncultured Bacillus sp.
Lineage: Bacteria; Bacillati; Bacillota; Bacilli; Caryophanales; Bacillaceae
Description: bacterial SSU rRNA
Rfam family: Bacterial small subunit ribosomal RNA
Source: RNAcentral
GGGCAACCUACCCUAUAGUUUGGGAUAACUCCGGGAAACCGGGGCUAAUACCGAAUAAUUUAUUUCACCUCAUGGUGGAAUACUGAAAGACGGUUUCGGCUGUCGCUAUAGGAUGGGCCCGCGGCGCAUUAGCUAGUUGGUGAGGUAACGGCUCACCAAGGCGACGAUGCGUAGCCGACCUGAGAGGGUGAUCGGCCACACUGGGACUGAGACACGGCCCAGACUCCUACGGGAGGCAGCAGUAGGGAAUCUUCCACAAUGGGCGAAAGCCUGAUGGAGCAACGCCGCGUGAGUGAAGAAGGAUUUCGGUUCGUAAAACUCUGUUGUAAGGGAAGAACAAGUACAGUAGUAACUGGCUGUACCUUGACGGUACCUUAUUAGAAAGCCACGGCUAACUACGUGCCAGCAGCCGCGGUAAUACGUAGGUGGCAAGCGUUGUCCGGAAUUAUUGGGCGUAAAGCGCGCGCAGGUGGUUUCUUAAGUCUGAUGUGAAAGCCCACGGCUCAACCGUGGA